GCCCGGCUGGCACAAUUGGUUAGCGCGUGAGACUCUUAAUCUCAAGGUUGAGGGUUCGAGUCCCUCGUCGGGCU
Lindgomyces ingoldianus is the source of this 74-nucleotide non-coding RNA. The record is from the annotation of a RefSeq genome assembly. NCBI's taxonomy places the organism in Eukaryota, Fungi, Ascomycota, Dothideomycetes, Pleosporales, Lindgomycetaceae.